Molecule: ribosomal RNA, 465 nt
Filed under: uncultured bacterium
Lineage: Bacteria
Description: partial 16S ribosomal RNA
Rfam family: Bacterial small subunit ribosomal RNA
Source: RNAcentral
GACGAACGCUGGCGGCGUGCUUAACACAUGCAAGUCGAACGGAAAGGCCCCUUUGGGGGUACUCGAGUGGCGAACGGGUGAGUAACACGUGAGUAACCUGCCCUUGACUCCGGGAUAACUUCAGGAAACUGGGGCUAAUACCGGAUAGGAAUCCUUGCUGCAUGGUGAGGGUUGGAAAGCUUCGGCGGUUUUGGAUGGACUCGCGGCUUAUCAGCUUGUUGGUGGGGUAGUGGCUUACCAAGGCUUUGACGGGUAGCCGGCCUGAGAGGGCGACCGGCCACAUUGGGACUGAGAUACGGCCCAGACUCCUACGGGAGGCAGCUGUGGGGAAUAUUGCACAAUGGGCGGAGGCCUGAUGCAGCAACGCCGCGUGCGGGAUGACGGCCUUCGGGUUGUAAACCGCUUUCAGCAGGGGCGAAGCUUGUGGUGACGGUACCUGCAGAAGAAGCACCGGCUAACUACGUG